Molecule: ribosomal RNA, 465 nt
Filed under: Vreelandella stevensii
Lineage: Bacteria; Pseudomonadati; Pseudomonadota; Gammaproteobacteria; Oceanospirillales; Halomonadaceae
Description: partial 16S ribosomal RNA
Rfam family: Bacterial small subunit ribosomal RNA
Source: RNAcentral
CCUACGGGUGGCUGCAGUGGGGAAUAUUGGACAAUGGGGGGAACCCUGAUCCAGCCAUGCCGCGUGUGUGAAGAAGGCCCUCGGGUUGUAAAGCACUUUCAGUGAGGAAGAACGCCUGGUGGUUAAUACCCAUCAGGAAAGACAUCACUCACAGAAGAAGCACCGGCUAACUCCGUGCCAGCAGCCGCGGUAAUACGGAGGGUGCGAGCGUUAAUCGGAAUUACUGGGCGUAAAGCGCGCGUAGGUGGCUUGAUAAGCCGGUUGUGAAAGCCCCGGGCUCAACCUGGGAACGGCAUCCGGAACUGCCAAGCUAGAGUGCAGGAGAGGAAGGUAGAAUUCCCGGUGUAGCGGUGAAAUGCGUAGAGAUCGGGAGGAAUACCAGUGGCGAAGGCGGCCUUCUGGACUGACACUGACACUGAGGUGCGAAAGCGUGGGUAGCAAACAGGAUUAGAUACCCUAGUAGUC